UUCUGGUUGAUCCUGCCGGAGGCUACCGCUAUUGGAAUCUGAUUAAGCCAUGCGAGUUGAAAGGGUUUAGACCCUUAGCGGACGGCUCAGUAACACGUGGAGAACCUACCCUCAGGUGGGGGAUAAUCCCGGGAAACUGGGAAUAAUACCCCAUAGGUCUCAUCUGCUGGAAUGCUUUGAGGCUGAAAGUUCCGGCGCCUGAGGAUGGCUCUGCGGCCUAUCAGGUAGUAGUGAGGGCAACGUCCUCACUAGCCGAUGACGGGUACGGGCGUUGAAAGACGGAGCCCGGAGAUGGACUCUGAGACACGAGUCCAGGCCCUACGGGGCGCAGCAGGCGCGAAACCUUCGCAAUGCUCGAAAGAGUGACGAGGGGAUUCCAAGUGCCUACGCUCAGCGUAGGCUGUUUAGAUGCCUAAAACGCAUUUAGAGGAAGGACUGGGUAAGACGGGUGCCAGCCGCCGCGGUAA
Molecule: ribosomal RNA, 467 nt
Filed under: uncultured archaeon
Lineage: Archaea
Description: bacterial SSU rRNA
Rfam family: Archaeal small subunit ribosomal RNA
Source: RNAcentral